UCUCCGAGAUAUUUUCCAUUUCGGUAGAGAUUUCGCUUUUCUUUCUAAGUAUCCGCUCUUCAUUUCAUUUUGUCGUGUUGAAGUACAUGUUUUUAAUCAAAUCCUUCUCCCCCACCCACCCCCAAGUAUUUCAAAAAUAAACAGGCUUCUCCAUUUACAUGUCAGCUUCCAACACACUUCGAAACAAAGUUGCAAGAGAGGAACACUGAACUUUUCACUGCUGCAGCAGGCAGGGGAGGGCUGCAAUCUUACAUUUGGGAACGGGCUCAGUUCCAAUGGAGGAGACGGGUGCAUGGUGGAAUAUUGGGUUGGGGGAUCACACCAUUGGGGGAGCAGACCCAACGGGUCUGCACUUGGUCUAGUAAAAUUAUAAAAGGUCUGGACAAGCUAGAUGCAGGAAAAAUGUUCCUAAUGGUGGGCAAGUCCAGAACCAGGGGCCACAGUCUUAGAAUAAAGGGGAGGCCAUUUAAGACUGAGGUGAGAAAAAACUUUUUCACCCAGAGUUGUGAAUUUGUGGAAUUCCCUGCCACAGAGGGCAGUGGAGGCCAAGUCACUGGAUGGAUUUAAGAGAGAGUUAGAUAGAGAUCUAGGGGCUAGUGGAAUCAAGGGAUAUGGGGAGAAGGCAGGCACGGGUUAUUGAUUGGGGAUGAUCAGCCAUGAUCACAAUGAAUGGCGGUGCUGGCUCAAAAGGCUGAAUGGCCUCCUCCUGCACCUAUUUUCUAUGUUUCUAUGUCACCUAUCCAUGUUCUCCAGAGAUGCUGACUUUGACCCACUGAGUUACUCCAGCACUGUCUUUUGAACGAGUAUCCAAAUAUCUUUACAAAUCUCUACAACAGUCUGUCUAGUCCAAAGCUCAAUGAAUGGCCACUCAACACAUCACACACAGAUUCCUUUCACCUGAAAGUCCUUCAUAAGAAUUCAUACUGAACAAGCUUUGAUUAGGGUAGCUAACAUUAACCAUUUCUCACAGAGAGUCACCACCAGUCUGUGGAAUUCUCUGCCUCAGAGGGCGGUGGAGACAGGUUCUCUGGAUGCUUUCAGAGAGAGCUAGAUAGGGCUCUUAAAAAUAGCGGAGUCAGGGCAUAUGAUUUCUAGAGCCACUUCCUUAAGUACCCUGGGAUGCAGACUAUCAGGUCCUGGGGAUUUAUUAGCCUUCAGUCCCAUCAGUCUAUCCAACACUAUUUCCAGCCUAAUGUGGAUUUCCUUCAGUUCCUCCGUCACCCCAGAUCCUUUGGCCACUACUGUAUCAGCAAGAUUGUUUGUGUCCUCCUUAGUGAAGGUAGAUCCAAAGUACCUGUUCAACUCAUCUGCCAUUUCCUUGUUCCACACAAUAAAUUCACCUUUUUCAGUCUUCAAUGGUCCAACUUUGGUCUUAACUAUUUUUUAACCUUAUCCCUGAACCCUUAACCUUGACCCUUAACCCUUAAAUGUAACUUUAACCCUUAACCUUGACCCUUAACCCUAACCCUUAAUCCACAUGGAUAGCGCUGGAGGAUCAAACUUUGGUCACAGCUGUGCCUCUGUUCCGCCCUGGGCCAGCUUAGAUUUUUUUGCAUCAUAAUCCACUGAUCAGAGCUGCCACCAAAGCAAUGGGUCUGUGUUGCCAAUACCAGAAUGAUCAGAAUCUAAAGAGUUAAGAGGACCCUGUCGACCAAGCUAAACAAGGCUGGUUGUUUUAUCUCGCUCCUGCCGCUCAGCUCCUCCCUACUGCAGUCAUUUGACAAAAAAAUUAUCUUCCACCCUUCAGGUUUGGAGAAGCGAGAGGGAGAGGGAGGACACGGUCACAGAAAGUGUUGCUGCCAUGUCAGACAAGAAGGAUCAGGAGAACUUGCAGUUGGCGGUGAAGGUGCCUGUGCAUCCCUCCGGAGCCGGCUGCUCAGAGCUGAGGUCGGCCAUGCUGAAGUGAUCUUUCCAAUUCUGCAAUGACCAGAAUCGUUCUAUCUCCUUCUUCCAGUUUCCCAUUUGUUUCCAUGUGGUUCCACCCACAGCAGCCAUCUGCUUGGUAAAUAAACCACAGCAGAACAAUCACACUGACCCGUUUCAUUUGGAUUUAAUUAUUGGUGGAGUGGUGUGCUCGGUCCUCAACCUUUUACCUAGAUGCUGCCUUUUUUGUUUUAGAAUAUAUUGGAAUACAAAGAUGUAACUAACUUGUCAAGCCUCUUGGAUUGACAAGUUAGGGACCUUCCACAUUUGUAAAACCAGUUGUUUUUCUCUCCACAAGAAGUCAUUCUUCACCGAUUCACCAUUAAUGCAGCCUCUCCCUCAUCAGAAAGUGACAUGGUGGUAAAUUCUUCAAUCUUCCACCCCACCACCGAUGAAAACAAAAAAUAACUGCAGGCGCUGGAAGUUUGAAACAAAGUGCUGGAACGUCUCUUCAGGUCAGGCAGCAUCCAAGGACAGAAAAACCUUUCCGGUCAAAAGCCCUUCACCAGCUUCACAUUUCCAACAUUGGCAUUUUUCAUGUUUAUUGGAUUUAAGGCACUGCCCUCUGUUAAAGCUUCUAAUAAAUACAUGUUCAUGCAU
This is a long non-coding RNA of Leucoraja erinaceus (little skate), 2523 nucleotides long. RefSeq lists it as uncharacterized. Lineage: Eukaryota; Metazoa; Chordata; Chondrichthyes; Rajiformes; Rajidae. The transcript has 2 exons. The record is from RefSeq and is a predicted model, not a curated record.